RNAcentral lists this ribosomal RNA (253 nucleotides) under uncultured bacterium. RNAcentral describes it as "partial 16S ribosomal RNA". It matches the Rfam family "Bacterial small subunit ribosomal RNA", at positions 524 to 776 of the family's 1533-position model. The record is from RNAcentral.
GACGUAGGGCGCGAGCGUUGUCCGGAUUUAUUGGGCGUAAAGAGCUCGUAGGCGGCUUGUCGCGUCGUCCGUGAAAACCUGGGGCUCAACUCCGGGCUUGCGGGCGAUACGGGCAGGCUAGAGUUCGGUAGGGGAGACUGGAAUUCCUGGUGUAGCGGUGAAAUGCGCAGAUGUCAGGAGGAACACCGGUGGCGAAGGCGGGUCUCUGGGCCGAUACUGACGCUGAGGAGCGAAAGCGUGGGGAGCGAACAGG